RNAcentral lists this unclassified non-coding RNA (811 nucleotides) under Hevea brasiliensis (rubber tree). Lineage: Eukaryota; Viridiplantae; Streptophyta; Magnoliopsida; Malpighiales; Euphorbiaceae. The record is from RNAcentral.
GAAGAAAUUUGGUUUUUAUGUUGCAUGGUUACACUGUACGCCAUCGCUUUUAAAGUUCCUACCCUAGGGCUCUACAAUUUCCUUAAAGAUAUGAAAAAUCAACAAAGCCUGAUAUGGCGGUUCUAUAAAUGGUUUGCCCCUACUUCAACAUGGCCUAGAAGAUUAAAGACAGCCAAUGAGAACCAUAAUCUCCACUGUAAGCCUUUACCAGAAGUCAUAGCAGCCUUCUGUCUGUUCAUCUUACACAGGCCUUCUUUAAGGAUUCAGAAGGAUUAUUAUGGACUCAAAACCAAUUCUAUGAAUAGAAGACCUAUUCCAAAACUGUCAAGACAGGACAAAGCCUUACACUGUGAAAAAAAAUUACUGCACAUCUCUGUGAAAUUAACAACUAUAAGCCCAAGGCCCAGAUAAUGACUUCCACUUCUAUCGGACCAAAAGCCCAACCAGAAAAAGUUGCAAAUUUUCUUCCUGAUUAUACUAAUCCAAUCUGGUAAGAUUCUCAGGACCCCACCACACGGCAGAAAAAGAAGAAACUAAUAAGAGUACAUCUGUUCCUGAAUAGAAAAACAAUCCAUGUCCCUAGUACAAGAGCCUGUAUGACAAAAAAUAUGAUUCUGAUGACUCAGACUAUUAUAAUUAUAAUCAAAGUACAAGUUCUAACUCCAUGUGAAUUGACAGCAGACUGUCCCCCUGAAGCUGGAGAAAAAUAUACAUCUACAUAAUUAAUUUUAGUCAGAUGAGUUAUUUGUCUUCAUGUAGGACUUUGUUAGGUAUGAGUCAUGUACCCACCUAACUAGUUCUUAUCUUGUUA